GAUGAAGAACGUAGCGAAAUGCGAUAAGUAGUGUGAAUUGCAGAAUUCAGUGAAUCAUCGAAUCUUUGAACGCACAUUGCGCCCCAUGGUAUUCCGUGGGGCAUGCCUGUUCGAGCGUCAUUUACCCCCUCAAGCUCCGCUUGGUGUUGGGCGUCUGUCCCGCUUCGCGCGCGGACUCGCCCCAAAGGUAUUGGCAGCGGUCGUGCCAGCUUCUCGCGCAGCACAUUGCGCUUCUCGAGGCACCGGUGGGCCCGCGUCCAUCAAGCUCACCCCCCCAGUUUGACCUCGGAUCAGGUAGGGAUACCCGCUGAACUUAAGCAUAUCAACGGAGGA
This 333-nucleotide unclassified non-coding RNA is filed under the name soil metagenome. Its description in RNAcentral is "partial contains 5.8S ribosomal RNA, internal transcribed spacer 2, and large subunit ribosomal RNA". The stretch from base 1 to 120 matches the Rfam family "5.8S ribosomal RNA", at positions 35 to 154 of the family's 154-position model. The record is from RNAcentral.